RNAcentral lists this small RNA (166 nucleotides) under Chrysemys picta bellii (western painted turtle). RNAcentral's name for it is "TUC338 (ENSCPBG00000006957.1)". The record is from RNAcentral. Lineage: Eukaryota; Metazoa; Chordata; Testudines; Emydidae.
GUGACAACUGGGAAGAUUGGAGUUCUCUUCUUACCUGCAGAUUAGAUAGACCACAAGCAGCAGCAGUGCAGGCUUUCUCGACACUGCCCUACCGAUAUGUCUCAUUCUUGACUUGUUAGAGUCAGAGGAUAGUUCAGUCUCCAUGCCCAUUUAAUUCUUGGUGUGU